AACCCGGUACCGGAAUCAGCCACCGGAGGAGAUCUCGGAGGCGCCUCCUGGGUCAUGGGAUCCGACUGAGGCGGUGGCUCAGGGGGGACAGGGUCUCCCUGGGAGUCCAAAUUCCCACCUGGAGAGGAUGAGUUAAGAAUGAGAACGUCAAACUGCGGCACUCAGGACUCCAGACUCCCGGGCCUUUCCUCUCUCAGAUCCAGCAGUGUAGUCCCCCAGCUUCUCCUCCCUCAGGCCCAGAUGUCUGGACCCUCAGUCCCUCAGUCCAUUCCUCCCUGAAACUCAGGUGUUCGCCCCCCAACCUCCCCCUCCCUUCCUCCCUAGUAUCCCGGACCACGGUCCCCCUCUUGCCUGGGACCUACAAUUCCAAGCCCUGCCCAGCUCUUUCCUCACCAAGACAAAAACUUCCCAGCGGCCCGCAGACCCCUCCUCUCCAGGAGCUAGGAUUCCAGGUCUUCCCCAAAACCCAGGACUCCAGGAUCCCCGCCCCUCACCUGUCAUCAUUCUGUGCCACUGCGACGCCUCAGUGGCCAGGGCUUGGGAGAGGCUGAGGACCCGCUCCCGGUGGCCUCCGGACGUCGGAAUUGAUUUUCUUGCUCCCUCGACCCGCCCUCCAGUUCCUUACCUACUCCAGGACCCGGAGCUUCUGAGCCAUUUCUGGGCUCCUGAGUGCCCCAGCACAGGCUGGAAAGGAAUUGGGACAUUAGGACUCCUCACCUGGAAGUCCCAUGUCCUCAUCUGAGGGUGAAGUGGAGGGAGCUCAGAAAGGGGAUCAAGUUGCCCAAAGACACUGACAAUGUUUAACUUUACCUGUGCUCCUGGAAAACAGCUCGGGUUAAAAAAAAUCCUCCUGCCCCAACACCUGUGACUUGUCUAAUUCCUUCCUAUAAAAGUCUAAGGUGACACCAUCCUGAGACAUCUGAGACACUCUGAGGUUCAGAUCUGGGGUGCUGUCCGUCAGAGCGUGAAUAAAAUCAAUUUCCUUACUGGUGCAA
Lemur catta (Ring-tailed lemur) is the source of this 995-nucleotide long non-coding RNA. RefSeq lists it as uncharacterized. Lineage: Eukaryota; Metazoa; Chordata; Mammalia; Primates; Lemuridae. The record is from RefSeq and is a predicted model, not a curated record. The transcript has 2 exons.